Long non-coding RNA from Dicentrarchus labrax (European seabass), 826 nucleotides. RefSeq lists it as uncharacterized. The record is from RefSeq and is a predicted model, not a curated record. The transcript is spliced from 3 exons. Lineage: Eukaryota; Metazoa; Chordata; Actinopteri; Moronidae.
CCUGCUGGACUGGAAAAAAACAAUUAACUCAAUUCUCUAUUAUUCGCUGGUCGCACCGUACAGUCAACAGGUCUUCCUACAGUGACUGAAGUGCUUUGUGGGAUUUAAAGUGUUUAUAGCAACUGAGCGAUGACAGCGCAGAUGGACAGCCGAAGAUAGACAGGAGAGGGAGGCAGAGAGAGAGGAUGACACGCAGCAAAGGGCCGCAGGUCGGAUUCAAACCCUGGGCCGCUGCAGCAAGGACUCAGCCUCAGUAUAUGGGUUGCCAGCUCUACCCACUGAGCUAACUGGGAGUCCAUCUAAAUCAAAUUUGACUUGAAUUUUUGUUUUGUUAACAACCUGCAGAUACUGGAUGUGCAGCCAGUUUCCACAGAGGCUUUUAAUCAGCUACAUCACUGCAGUGGCCUUCCCCUGCCUGCUGAUACUGUAUAAUUCCAGCAUGCUGAGGCUGGUGGUGUUUAAGCUCUGGGGGCUGAGGAGAGGCAGUGGAGGUGAUGAGAGCACCAGUGGCUGGAACAGAGAGUAAGGGACCAGGUUGUGGCCACAGUGCCAGUCCUCAGCUGUGUUCAGGGCUUACCUUGGGGGUUAGAAAACCUUCCCUCCGUGGGAUCUGUCUUCUAAACUCAGAGCAGAGUCAGCAUGUGCACCACCUUUCUUUGUCCUUCGCAGGUGUAUUUAUGUUCCGUGGCUUUGAUCUGCAAGUCUCGAUCUGACAAUAAAUCCAGAGUCUUAGAAAAAUUGCCAUGUCAUAUGUAUUCAUUAACUGACUACACUUCAAAGUAAUCUGACCCAACCCUGAACCCCUGUCUAUUUUCAGCUGUUACUA